UGAGUGCAAAAAGUGGCGAGAUUAUUGGUGUGCGUUCGGUGUGUAUGGGGUGUGUGACAGCUCCUUUCAAAGUAGUGGUGUAUAGAAGUGCAUGAGCGCGACAAGUGAGAAGAUUCUCUACUACACUACACUGAAGCGGCUGACGACGAAUGGCGACAAGCAGUGCAUCAUAUGAAGAGCUUGGUGAGAUGCUCUGGUUUCACCACAGUGGCUCCACUUCAGGACAUAAUGGCCAGCAGGCAACAUACACCACAUUGCAAGAGUGUAUUAUUGGAAAAGUAUGGUUGAGGAUGUCAAGCAUUUGUACACUACGUUGAGAGCUGCAAUGCAUACCAAUAUUUGGGUUCCAUCAAAACACAAGCCACCUCCACCACCACCACCACCAACACCACCAUCACCACCAUGCCAUUCAUGGAGGCGAACAAGGUGUUGGAGCUUGUAGGACUUGACAUGAUUGCUUCUUCAAGAUCUUGUCAUCCUAGCCACUCCUGAGGAAAUUUCCAGCUGAGCUGUGUCUGGGAGCAAGAAAUGAAGCAUCAGGAAUUGCACAAGCAGCGUGAAGGGAGCAUUAGGGCUGUCCAGGAAAGGCACAAAUGAAACACUGCAAUACAAUGAACAAGGGAGUCUGUCUGACUUUUACAUCAAGAGUGGAAUGUCAGUGCUAACAACAAAUAUUAGGAAUGAAACCCAGAAGGGAGGGAAAACUGAACCAAAAUGGAGUGGUCCAUACAAGACAUGAUGUUUUAGUGAUGAAUUUUUUGGUGGAGCAUGUGAGGAAGGAUCGAGGAUGGCUAGGCAGGUCAGCACCCUCAUAGUUUCCACACCACUCACUCCACUCCCCCUUAUAUCCACCAAGAGAGGCUUUGCACCACAUCUCAAGCAGAUAAGUGUGUGUGUGUGUGUGUGUGUGUGUGUGUGUGUGUGUGUGUGUGUGUGUGUGUGUGUGUGUGUGUGUGUGUG
This 960-nucleotide long non-coding RNA is filed under the name Portunus trituberculatus (swimming crab). RNAcentral's name for it is "uncharacterized LOC123499743, transcript variant X2". Lineage: Eukaryota; Metazoa; Arthropoda; Malacostraca; Decapoda; Portunidae. The record is from RNAcentral.